Molecule: ribosomal RNA, 253 nt
Filed under: uncultured bacterium
Lineage: Bacteria
Description: partial 16S ribosomal RNA
Rfam family: Bacterial small subunit ribosomal RNA
Source: RNAcentral
UACGUAGGUGGCAAGCGUUAUCCGGAAUUAUUGGGCGUAAAGCGCGCGCAGGUGGUUUCUUAAGUCUGAUGUGAAAGCCCACGGCUCAACCGUGGAGGGUCAUUGGAAACUGGGAGACUUGAGUGCAGAAGAGGAAAGUGGAAUUCCAUGUGUAGCGGUGAAAUGCGUAGAUAUCAGAAGGAACAUCAGUGGCGAAAGCGGCUUCCUGGUCCAGUACCGACGUUCAGGCACGAAAGCGUGGGGAGCAAACAGG